UACGUCAACAAGACGGCUGCCCUUUUACAGGGAGGAAAGUCCGAACACUCUCCGCAAAAAGCGGAGCAAAGGAGAGUUGCUAACGGCAACCAGGAGUAAGAGUGUUCAAAAAGUCCUCGCGAGUUUUUGAACAUUCCAAGCCUCGGGAAAGUGUCCUGUGCUGCAAAAUGCGGUACGGGAUUUAAAGAAUAAAGGCGACUUUAUUCUUUAAGCAACAGAAAAUAUACCGCCCAUCUUCGCUCGCUUUUAGCGCGCGGAGGUGAGUAAGGGUGAAAUCGUGGCUUAAGAGACCACGCGAGCCCGCAGUGAUGCGGCUUGUGGCAAACCCUCUUUAGUGCAAGGCCAAGUAGGUCCCGUACCGGAAGCGAAAGCGAUUGGUACUGGGACGGGUUGGCUGCUAGAAUCCCGCAGUAAUGCGGGGUCAAGAGAGAUAGCCGUCUCCCAUUUUUCAAAAAAUGGCAGACAGAAUUCGGCUUAUAAGUUGGCGUGGGCA
The sequence is an RNase P RNA, 493 nucleotides long. It matches the Rfam family "Bacterial RNase P class A". Rfam says of the family: Ribonuclease P (RNase P) is a ubiquitous endoribonuclease, found in archaea, bacteria and eukarya as well as chloroplasts and mitochondria. Its best characterised activity is the generation of mature 5'-ends of tRNAs by cleaving the 5'-leader elements of precursor-tRNAs.